UGCUAUUCAGCCUUUUUGCUUAUCAGGUUAAUAUCUAGCAUACCCUAAGGACCCUACAAUAGGUAUAUUUUUGGAGCUUAGAGAAUUGAUGGUAACUUGGCUUUGACCAUUUCAUAAAUAGACCUAGUACUGCAGUGCCACCAGGAAAUCCCAA
RNAcentral lists this small nuclear RNA (154 nucleotides) under Mus pahari (shrew mouse). RNAcentral's name for it is "snRNA (MGP_PahariEiJ_G0033252.1)". Lineage: Eukaryota; Metazoa; Chordata; Mammalia; Rodentia; Muridae. The record is from RNAcentral.